This 253-nucleotide ribosomal RNA is filed under the name uncultured bacterium. RNAcentral describes it as "partial 16S ribosomal RNA". It matches the Rfam family "Bacterial small subunit ribosomal RNA", at positions 524 to 776 of the family's 1533-position model. The record is from RNAcentral.
UACGAAGGGGGCUAGCGUUGCUCGGAAUCACUGGGCGUAAAGGGUGCGUAGGCGGGUCUUUAAGUCAGGGGGGAAAUCCUGGAGCUCAACUCCAGAACUGCCUUUGAUACUGAAGAUCUUGAGUUCGGAAGAGGUGAGUGGAACUGCGAGUGUAGAGGUGAAAUUCGUAGAUAUUCGCAAGAACACCAGUGGCGAAGGCGGCUCACUGGCCCGAUACUGACGCUGAGGCACGAAAGCGUGGGGAGCAAACAGG